This 212-nucleotide ribosomal RNA is filed under the name uncultured Methanosaeta sp. RNAcentral's name for it is "partial 16S ribosomal RNA". It matches the Rfam family "Archaeal small subunit ribosomal RNA", at positions 1132 to 1334 of the family's 1478-position model. The record is from RNAcentral. Lineage: Archaea; Methanobacteriati; Methanobacteriota; Methanomicrobia; Methanotrichales; Methanotrichaceae.
UGGGCAACGGUAGGUCAGUAUGCCCCGAAUCUCCCGGGCUACACGCGGGCUACAAUGGUUGGUACAAUGGGGCAAGUCUACCCCGAAAGGGGAAGGAAAUCUCUUAAAGCCAAUCGUAGUUCGGAUUGAGGGCUGCAACUCGCCCUCAUGAAGCUGGAAUCCGUAGUAAUCGCGUUUCAACAGAACGCGGUGAAUACGUCCCUGCCGUCCUU